AAGGCUGAAGAAAAACAGGCAAGUGGAAAUUCUGAUAGAUUUUUGAGUGAAUAGAAACAAUGGAUAUCAAGCAGUAGCCUAAAGAAAUGCCUUUCUAUGGUCUGUUGGCCAUUUCAGAAAUCUGUAAAUCUAAUGGUCAAUUCAUUAGAAAGAAACAUCU
Small nucleolar RNA from Acomys russatus (golden spiny mouse), 160 nucleotides. The record is from RefSeq and is a predicted model, not a curated record. NCBI's taxonomy places the organism in Eukaryota, Metazoa, Chordata, Mammalia, Rodentia, Muridae.